This 406-nucleotide ribosomal RNA is filed under the name uncultured bacterium. RNAcentral describes it as "partial 16S ribosomal RNA". It matches the Rfam family "Bacterial small subunit ribosomal RNA", at positions 30 to 526 of the family's 1533-position model. The record is from RNAcentral.
AUUGAACGCUGGCGGCAGGACUAACACAUGCAAGUCGAACGAGGGGCGGACGGGUGAGUAAUGUCUGGGAAUCUGCCUGAUGGAGGGGGAUAACUACUGGAAACGGUAGCUAAUACCGCAUACCAUCGGAUGUGCCCAGAUGUGAUUAGCUAGUAGGUGGGGUAAAGGCUCACCAAGGCGACGAUCCCUAGCUGGUCUGAGAGGAUGACCAGCCACACUGUAACUGAGACACGGUCCUGACUCCUACGAGAGGCAGCAGUGGGGAAUAUUGCGCAAUGGGCGCAACCCUGAUGCAGCCAUGCCGCGUGUAAGAAGAAGGCCUUCGGGUUGUAAAGUACUUUCAGCGGUGAGGCGUUACCCGCAGAAGAAGCACCGGCUAACUCCGUGCCAGCAGCCGCGGUAAUUC